CAAUAGCGUAUAUUAAAGUUGUUGCAGUUAAAAAGCUCGUAGUUGGAUUUCUGGUUGAAGCGACCGGUCGGGCGUUGAUUCGUCUGCACUGGAGUCGGUUUUGGCCAUCCUCUAGGAAAGUGCGUCUGGUAUUAAGUUAUCGGGCGUAUGAUCCUGGUCUUUUACUGUGAAAAAAUUAGAGUGUUUAAAGCAGGCCUUCGCCUUGAAUACAUUAGCAUGGAAUAAUAAGAUAGGACUUUGGUCUAUUUUGUUGGUUUGCAGACCGAAGUAAUGAUUAAUAGGGAUAGUUGGGGGUAUUUAUAUUCCGAUGUCGGAGGUGAAAUUCUUAGAUUUUCGGAAGAUAAACUUAUGCGAAAGCAUUUACCAAGGAUGUUUUCAUUAA
RNAcentral lists this ribosomal RNA (382 nucleotides) under uncultured eukaryote. RNAcentral describes it as "partial 18S ribosomal RNA". It matches the Rfam family "Eukaryotic small subunit ribosomal RNA", at positions 592 to 976 of the family's 1831-position model. The record is from RNAcentral.